GUUUUCUUUCUUCUUUCUUCAAUCGCCGCCGCCUGCCGUCGCCUCGAUUGGGCUGUGUCGUCGCUUUGGGCCUCGUUCGGUCGCCGUCGGAGAAGCCAGUCGCUCCGCCGUUCGCUCGCGUCGCGUCUGUAGGUGGGUUUUCCGCCGUCGCCUUGGUGCUGCCGCUCGCUCGGGACUCGCCGUUGUCAGCUGGGGAAGGUCGCUAGUGUCGUCUGGGUGUCUAGAUCCGCCACUAGCCGCUGCCGUGCCGUUUUCUGCUACUGCUGCUUCCAAUUUCAGUUUUGGUUUAGGGUAUUGAAGAGACGUAGGUGCCGAUGUCAAAGUAUGAAUUUCCAAGGCUUCCACGGGCAGAUAUUGCAUCGAUACUAGCAGAUCAUCAAAUUGCUGUUGUAACAGAGCGGGACCUCCUUCACCCCUCACCAGAUUUGGUUUCAGAUCUCUACACACGUUUAAUGAUCUACCUCGACUUUCUCCACGAGGAAGACCAAGGACAAGUUGAGUUUGCUGCCUUGGAUCAGCUCGAGAAUCCUGAUUUGCAUAUGGAUUCAGUCCCGAUAAU
This 559-nucleotide unclassified non-coding RNA is filed under the name Hevea brasiliensis (rubber tree). The record is from RNAcentral. Lineage: Eukaryota; Viridiplantae; Streptophyta; Magnoliopsida; Malpighiales; Euphorbiaceae.